GGGGAAUUGUUCGCAAUGGGCGCAAGCCUGACGACGCAACGCCGCGUGGAGGAUGAAGAUCUUCGGGUCGUAAACUCCUUUCGAUCGAGACGAAUGGCCCUUGGGCUAAUCACCAGGGGAAUGACGGUACCGAGAGAAGAAGCCCCGGCUAACUACGUGCCAGCAGCCGCGGUAAAACGUAGGAGACAAACGUUAUCCGGAGUUACUGGGCGUAAAGGGCGUGUAGGUGGUUGCGUAAGUCUGGCGUGAAAUAUCUCGGCUUAACCGAGGCAGGUCGUCGGAUACUGCGUAACUAGAGGACGGUAGAGGCGUGUGGAAUUCCGGGUGUAGUGGUGAAAUGCGUAGAGAUCCGGAGGAACACCAGUGGCGAAGGCGACACGUUGGGCAGUUGCUGACACUGAGGCGCGACAGCGUGGGGAGCAAAC
This 425-nucleotide ribosomal RNA is filed under the name uncultured bacterium. Its description in RNAcentral is "bacterial SSU rRNA". It matches the Rfam family "Bacterial small subunit ribosomal RNA", at positions 356 to 773 of the family's 1533-position model. The record is from RNAcentral.